Molecule: ribosomal RNA, 503 nt
Filed under: uncultured bacterium
Lineage: Bacteria
Description: bacterial SSU rRNA
Rfam family: Bacterial small subunit ribosomal RNA
Source: RNAcentral
AGAGUUUGAUCAUGGCUCAGAUUGAACGCUGGCGGCAUGCCUUACACAUGCAAGUCGAACGGCAGCACGGGGGCAACCCUGGUGGCGAGUGGCGAACGGGUGAGUAAUACAUCGGAAUGUACCCAGUAGUGGGGAUAACUAGUCGAAAGAUUAGCUAAUACCGCAUACGCACUAUGGUGGAAAGCGGGGGAUCGCAAGACCUCGCGCUAUUGGAGCAGCCGAUGUCCGAUUAGGUAGUUGGUGGGGUAAAAGCCUACCAAGCCUGCGAUCGGUAACUGGUCUGAGAGGACGACCAGUCACACUGGGACUGAGACACGGCCCAGACUCCUACGGGAGGCAGCAGUGGGGAAUUUUGGACAAUGGGGGAAACCCUGAUCCAGCAAUGCCGCGUGUGUGACGAAGGCCUUCGGGUUGUAAAGCACUUUUGGCGGGAACGAAACGGCGCUUUCUAAUACAGGGGGCUAAUGACGGUACCGUAAGAAUAAGCACCGGCUAACUACGUG